GAGUUUGAUCAUGGCUCAGAACGAACGCUGACGGUAUGCCUCAUACAUGCAAGUCGAGCGGGCACAGCAAUGUGUCAGCGGCGGACGGGUGAGUAACACGUGAACAAUCUGCCCCCGAAUUUGGGAUAACGGCUCCAACGAGCCGCUAAUACCGGAUAGGUUAUUCUGACCGCAUGGUCGGAUUAAGAAAGUUGCAAUUGCAACGUUCGGGGAUGAGUUCGCGGCCCAUUAGCUAGUUGGCGGGGUAAAGGCCCACCAAGGCAACGAUGGGUAGCCGGCCUGAGAGGGUGAUCGGCCACAUUGGGACUGAGAUACGGCCCAGACUCCUACGGGAGGCAGCAGUAGGGAAUUUUGCGCAAUGGACGAAAGUCUGACGCAGCAAUACCGUGUGAGGGAUGAAGCAUUUCGGUGUGUAAACCUCUGUCGAUGACGAAUAAAGCAUUUGGGAGUGGAAAGCCCAGGUGUUGAAGGUAGUCAGAAAGGAAGCACCGGCUAACUCUGUGCCAGCAGCCGCGGUAAUACAGGGGGUGCAAGCGUUGUUCGGAAUUACUGGGCGUAAAGGGAGCGU
RNAcentral lists this ribosomal RNA (568 nucleotides) under uncultured organism. RNAcentral's name for it is "bacterial SSU rRNA". It matches the Rfam family "Bacterial small subunit ribosomal RNA", at positions 9 to 572 of the family's 1533-position model. The record is from RNAcentral.